CCCUUAGAUGUUCUGGGCCGCACGCGCGAUACACUGAUUCAUGCAACAAGUUUUGUCCUUGGCUGAUAGGCCUGGGUAAUCUUUGAACGUGAAUCGUGAUGGGGAUAGAUGAUUGCAAUUAUUCAUCUUCAACGAGGAAUUCCUAGUAAACGCAAGUCAUCAGCUUGCAUUGAUUACGUCCCUGCCCUUUGUACACACCGCCCGUCGCACCUACCGAUUGAAUGGUCCGGUGAAAUCUUCGGAUCUGAGAGAUGUCUGAUUAAUUUCGGACGCCUUUUGGAAAAGUUGCUUAAACCUUACCAUUUAGAGGAAGGUGAAGUCGUAACA
This 327-nucleotide ribosomal RNA is filed under the name uncultured eukaryote. Its description in RNAcentral is "partial 18S ribosomal RNA". It matches the Rfam family "Eukaryotic small subunit ribosomal RNA", at positions 1470 to 1796 of the family's 1831-position model. The record is from RNAcentral.